GAUGAACGCUGGCGGCGUGCCUAAUACAUGCAAGUAGAACGCUGAAGGAAGGAGCUUGCUCUUUCCGGAUGAGUUGCGAACGGGUGAGUAACGCGUAGGUAACCUGCCUGGUAGCGGGGGAUAACUAUUGGAAACGAUAGCUAAUACCGCAUAACAGUAGAUGUUGCAUGACAACUAUUUGAAAGGGGCAAUUGCUCCACUACCAGAUGGACCUGCGUUGUAUUAGCUAGUUGGUGAGGUAACGGCUCACCAAGGCGACGAUACAUAGCCGACCUGAGAGGGUGAUCGGCCACACUGGGACUGAGACACGGCCCAGACUCCUACGGGAGGCAGCAGUAGGGAAUCUUCGGCAAUGGACGGAAGUCUGACCGAGCAACGCCGCGUGAGUGAAGAAGGUUUUCGGAUCGUAAAGCUCUGUUGUAAGAGAAGAACGAGUGUGAGAGUGGAAAGUUCACACUGUGACGGUAUCUUACCAGAAAGGGACGGCUAACUACGU
This 496-nucleotide ribosomal RNA is filed under the name uncultured bacterium. RNAcentral's name for it is "partial 16S ribosomal RNA". It matches the Rfam family "Bacterial small subunit ribosomal RNA", at positions 28 to 506 of the family's 1533-position model. The record is from RNAcentral.